This 460-nucleotide ribosomal RNA is filed under the name uncultured bacterium. Its description in RNAcentral is "partial 16S ribosomal RNA". It matches the Rfam family "Bacterial small subunit ribosomal RNA", at positions 338 to 795 of the family's 1533-position model. The record is from RNAcentral.
CCUACGGGCGGCAGCAGUGAGGAAUAUUGGUCAAUGGGCGGAAGUCUGAACCAGCCAUGCCGCGUGCAGGAAGACGGCUCUGUGAGUUGUAAACUGCUUUUGUACAAGGGUAAACCUGAAUACGUGUAUUCAGCUGAAAGUACUGUACGAAUAAGGAUCGGCUAACUCCGUUCCAGCAGACGCGGUAAUACGGAGGAUCCAAGCGUUAUCCGGAUUUAGUGGGUUUAAAGGGUGCGUAGGCGGAUUGAUAAGUUAGAGGUGAAAUGUCCGAGCUUAACUCGGGAACUGCCUCUAAUACUGUUGAUCUAGAGAGUAGAUGAGGUAGGCGGAAUGUAUGGUGUAGCGGUGAAAUGCUUAGAGAUCACACAGAACACCGAUUGCGAAGGCAGCUUACCAAUCUAUAUCUGACGUUGAGGCACGAAAGCGUGGGGAGCAAACAGGAUUAGAUACCCGAGUAGUC